AAGUCUAUAAGAUCAAAAUAACCACUCGUAUACUGAACAUAGGUCGAAAAAGCCAUACAAUCUUUUACGUACAUGACAUCUGUCUACAAGCCUCUAAGAAUACAUAAUUUUCAUAAAGGUCAGGACAAAGUCCCGCCAUACCAAACAAUACACGUCUAAAUUAUACUAACCAAAUAAGCAACUUCGAAGCAAAUGGAGCGCACCAACAUCUUUCCCUGAGCUGAUAGCCUACUUGGAGGGCUCUCGACCUAUCUAUCGGGACCUACGAGCAUGAAAUGCAGCGUCCCACGACAAAAGGACGUCAAUACGAAUAAUAUACAGAGUAUGUAAGGUACAUAAUUAAGUACAUAAAAGACAUGGAACAAAUAUAGAGUAAGUGGCUCAGCCUGUAAGUCUAGAUAACUAUGUAAAUCAUGAAAUACUUAUACUGUCAUGCAUAUGCGUAUGAAUGUCUUGUUGUGCAUAGGUACAUAUGUUCAUAACAUUAUCAAGCCUCUGAGGGCAUCCCAUCGUAUCAUCUCUACCACUGUGGGCAAAAAUCAUCAACGUAUACCAGCUGAUCAGGUGGUGGUGCGUAUAUAACGCCAUAACCUUUCCCAUAUCCCAUAUACAUAUAUAUAAGCAUAUAUAACGCCAUCUGUUCAUGGGUCAACGUGCAUGUAUAAAUGCAUAUGAAAUACAUUAAUAAAAUCUCUCGGUACAUCAUAAGACCAUUAUGCCUCUAAUUAAUAUCAUGAAAAAAACUUUACCAUCUUACGUAUUUUUGAGACGCAUGAAUAAAUGAUAGAAUAAUAUGACACAUGGGGAAUCAAGAACAUAAGCAUCUUUAGCAUUUCUAUGAGUAUAGUCAUUUAUGGAAGUUGUGCAUUUGUUUGUUUCGUUUGUAUUGUAUGAAUCAUGCCAAAAGGAAAUAAGGGAUAACCUUAACAUACCUGAACCAAUUCUCAUUUGGGGAAACACGUAACGGUGGAUCGAAGUAGGAAAAAAUACGUAUGAUAUUCUUGAGAAAGAUUGUACCUCGUUUUUUUUUGAAUUUGCAUAACACGUUGGAUCUUGUAGCAUUUCUCUCUGAAAUUUCACGUUGGAUCUUGUAAGAUUUCAGAGAAAUUUCACGUUGGAUCAUUGUUAUUUCUCUUUUAAUGGUAUAAAAAUGUUAUUUUGCUUAACUUUCCAAAGUCCUAUACUUUUCCAAUAAAGAGACCAUUCAAUCUUUACGUGUAAACAAGUUAUCACUUUGUCUAGUAACUCAUUUUGUAUAAUUUGCCACCUUGGCUAAGCUUAUGCCAUGUGGCAAUCCAAAAAAGAGUCUUAUCCACUUAAUACCAUAAUUAUCUUCACUAUUAAUUAAUUAUCCACAUAAUUAAGGAGUAUCUCAAAUUACUUAAAAUACUAUCCACUUUUAACAUACCUUAUACACCUUACUGUUACACCUCCUUUUUUUCCCGAAAGAGAUAUAAGGGAAUUUUUCCAAUUAAAGUGACAAUAAUUGAAACGAGAUUAUUUAUUCAAAUUCAGAGUCGCCACUUGGAAUAGUUUAUGGUGUCACAAGUCACGGGUUUAAAAUCUCGAAUCGAGGAAGUUCGACUCUAUUUUACAGUCCGCGAAACACAGAAAUCCGGGUAAGAAAUUCUGUUAAUCCGAGAGAAGGUGUUAGGCAUUCCCAAGUUCUGUGAUUUUAGCACGGUCGCUUUAAUCAUAUACCUGGCUUAUUAAAUUGUUUAAUUACUUAUUUUUAAACCUGUGUGAAUGUAAAAAUUAGCUGCUUUUAAUUUCUUGAUUUAUUCGUAAUUACGGAAUUAUCUUAAAACGAGUCAUGCGUACGUGUACUCAUUUUGUUUGGCACGUCAAGAAUCAUGUCACACGUAUGUGUCCACAAUUCUUAACAACUUAUUAUUAUGUAGAUUGUUUCGUCCAAAAUUGCGCACACACAUACCUUGGUUUAUUUGUGGAAAUCAAAAUCAUAUCACACAAACGUGCACGCAAUCAUAAUAACAUCUUCAUAUCUAUAAAGGAUCACAUUCAACAAAUCCUCCAUCUCUAAUCCGAAAGUUACUCGGGGUUCAAGAAACAUAAAGUUCUAUGCUGAGAGCUUUUAAAGAUUUUAAAGCCCCAAUCCCUUCAAAAUUGAACAAAGAAAUUAUCCUCAAUUAAGAUUAUCACCUUUCAACUUUUCUAUGGAGACCUUUCAUUUUCCUGGAGUGAUACUUGAUAUACGAUCGUGCUAUUUAGAAGAUGGUAUAAGAAAUAGAAUAAAUUAUAUGCUAAGAGUAAUUCUGAAACAAAAUACAUUUAUAAUACCAAUUAACAUUAUGAUGAUCUGCUUGACCAUUCCCUUUCUGAACAUCAAACAAAGGACACCCAAAAACUAUUUUUAUUAUGUUUUUUGUAUUGGUAUGAGACAUCUGAACAUCAAGAUACCGUCACUGCUGAAAUGCUUUUCAAACAUAUUCCACAUUUAGAAAUUAAGAUGGUUAGAUAAUCAGAAUUUAUACAUAAUGUGCAAGAAGCAAAUGAAAGAGUUUCCUAAACAAACAUGCGACCUAAUAACAUCUCAAUAUUUACAAUUCUAUUUCAAACUAAACAAGUAAAUCAAUUAUAAAAGAACAGAUAAGAGUCAUCAGCUAAAAUGCUAAACAUUAACAAAAGAAACUAUGAGAUCACAAUUUAUCUAUGUUGACCGAAAAGCAUAGAGCAAAUGAAAUAAUUCCAAACAUCACCAAAUUAUAUGGCACCACGAAAAUGAACAGACCUUUUAUAUAUGAGAGUAAAAGAUGGAAACUAGGUGAUAAAUCUCAAGCAAACUGGACCGGGAACAGAGAACUCACCAGCGACCUCGGUAAUAGAGCUUCGGCCUCGAAAAGCUGAAAAUCUAUUUCUGUUUCGAUUUCCUUCUUCAAAAUGAUACUGGACACAAGAAAUUGAAAGAUUUUGGAUAUUUUCUCGCUGUAGUAACCAAGUCAUUCCACCCCUUCCCUCUUUCGUCCGUUUAGUACCUUUGUGUGCGCGUGUUUUGUGAAGAAUAGAGAGGAUGGCUGCGGAGAUGGAGUUCAGAGAGGGAGAUAUGGUCGUUUGAAGGGGUUACUGGUUUUUGUGGUGGUCGUGAGUGAGUUGAAGAAGCAACAUCAAUUGCUUGUUAGUUGUCACCGGUCAUUACUUGGGAAGAAGAAGGGUGUUCUGGGUGUGCAACUAGGUUUUCCGGCGGCUUUCAUGUGGUGAGGGAGCAGCGGCAGAAGGGUGAGAGGCGCUAAAGUGGUGCGAGGGAAAUGGAUAGAGAAGAAGUAGCGGGUCCUUUGGGUGAGGGUUUUGCGGCUGGUUUGUGUUGUUAUAGGAAGAAGGUAGCCGAUGAAGGGGGGGGGGGGUCUUUUGUUUAUGGCUGCUGCGACUGAUCUCCAAAGUUAGGUAGUGAGGGUUCACAUGAUAAACAACUGGGNNNNNNNNNNNNNNNNNNNNNNNNNUUCACGAUGAGAGAUGGCGGGGGGGGGGGGGGACAUUUUUUUGGUUCUAGCGUUAGGUUUCUAGAGUUAUUUUAGGUCCGUUGCGGCUGAUUUGUGUUGAAUGGGGCAGGGGUCGAUGCUUCUCUAGGUUAGAAAAUUAGGUCUCAAGUUUUUUGUUGUUCCAUUUUUUAUGAAGAAG
This 3633-nucleotide long non-coding RNA is filed under the name Nicotiana tabacum (common tobacco). RNAcentral describes it as "long non-coding RNA (NTAB_LNC004888)". Lineage: Eukaryota; Viridiplantae; Streptophyta; Magnoliopsida; Solanales; Solanaceae. The record is from RNAcentral.